AGCGAACGUUAGCGGCGGGCCUAACACAUGCAAGUCGAGCGAGAAAAGGGCUUCGGCUCUUAGUAAAGCGGCGGACGGGUGAGUAACACGUAGGUAAUCUUCCCUUGAGCGGGGGACAACGUUCCGAAAGGGACGCUAAUACCGCAUAAGUUUCCUGGGACUCUGGUCCUGGGAAGGAAAGCUAGGCCGCAAGGUCCGGCACUCGAGGAGGAGCCUGCGUCGCAUCAGCUAGUUGGUGGGGUAACGGCCUACCAAGGCGAAGACGCGUAGCUGGUCUGAGAGGAUGAUCAGCCACACUGAAACUGAGACACGGUUCAGACUCCUACGGGAGGCAGCAGUGGGGAAUAUUGGACAAUGGGCGCAAGCCUGAUCCAGCCACGCCGCGUGAGUGAUGAAGGCCUUC
This 403-nucleotide ribosomal RNA is filed under the name uncultured bacterium. RNAcentral describes it as "bacterial SSU rRNA". It matches the Rfam family "Bacterial small subunit ribosomal RNA", at positions 29 to 419 of the family's 1533-position model. The record is from RNAcentral.